GUGAGGAAUAUUGCGCAAUGGAGGCAACUCUGACGCAGCCAUGCCGCGUGCAGGAAGAAGGCGCUACGCGUUGUAAACUGCUUUUAACCGGGAAGAAACCCCAGGACGUGUCCUGGGUUGACGGUACCGGAGGAAUAAGCACCGGCUAACUUCGUGCCAGCAGCCGCGGUAAUACGAAGGGUGCAAGCGUUAUCCGGAUUCAUUGGGUUUAAAGGGUGCGUAGGCGGAGCGUUAAGUCAGUGGUGAAAUCCUGCAGCUUAACUGUAGACUUGCCAUUGAUACUGGCGCUCUUGAGUGCGCUUGAAGUGGGCGGAAUGUGCCGUGUAGCGGUGAAAUGCUUAGAUAUGGCACAGAACACCAAUUGCGAAGGCAGCUCACUAAGGCGAUACUGACGCUGAGGCACGAAAGCGUGGGGAUCAAACAGGAUUAGAAACCCUGGUAGUCC
This 445-nucleotide ribosomal RNA is filed under the name uncultured bacterium. RNAcentral describes it as "partial 16S ribosomal RNA". It matches the Rfam family "Bacterial small subunit ribosomal RNA", at positions 354 to 796 of the family's 1533-position model. The record is from RNAcentral.